RNAcentral lists this non-coding RNA (356 nucleotides) under Nippostrongylus brasiliensis. RNAcentral describes it as "Eukaryotic large subunit ribosomal RNA". It matches the Rfam family "Eukaryotic large subunit ribosomal RNA", at positions 1561 to 1882 of the family's 3401-position model. Lineage: Eukaryota; Metazoa; Nematoda; Chromadorea; Rhabditida; Heligmosomidae. The record is from Rfam by way of RNAcentral.
GUGCAUGUGUUCUAUGCUUUAUUUUUGUCGUUAACAGGUAAUAUCGCUUACUUCUGAGGUAUUAAACAUAUCGACUUGCUGCAGACACAGAGAUUGUGGCUUUUACGAAUCACUUGCGCGGUUACGCAUUCGAACUUGGUUACGUCACUCAGAGGCCGAGCUAGAGUUCUCUUCUCUAGUUCAGUAACGGACUCCCUGGAAUUGGUGCAGUCGUAGAUAGGAACGUUGUUUCCGUUAAGGAUCGCGUUUCUGUGAUGUCUCGUGUUCUCUGGACGGCACUUGAAAAAUCAAGGAAGGAUAUUAAUCUGUGCUGCAUCGUACCGAUAUACGAAUCGGUUCUCCAAGGUGAACAGCCU